This 332-nucleotide ribosomal RNA is filed under the name uncultured bacterium. RNAcentral's name for it is "bacterial SSU rRNA". It matches the Rfam family "Bacterial small subunit ribosomal RNA", at positions 568 to 898 of the family's 1533-position model. The record is from RNAcentral.
CUCGUAGGCGGCCAACUAAGUCAGACGUGAAAUCCCUCGGCUCAACCGGGGAACUGCGUCUGAUACUGGAUGGCUUGAGAUUGGGAGAGGGAUGCGGAAUUCCAGGUGUAGCGGUGAAAUGCGUAGAUAUCUGGAGGAACACCGGUGGCGAAGGCGGCAUCCUGGACCAACACUGACGCUGAGGAGCGAAAGCCAGGGGAGCAAACGGGAUUAGAUACCCGGUAGUCCUGGCCCUAAACGAUCGAAUGCUUGGUGUGACGGGUAUCGAUCCCUGUCGUGCCGAAGCUAACGCAUUAAGCAUUCCGCCUGGGGAGUACGGUCGCAAGGCUGAA